CACGUAGGGCGCAAGCGUUGUCCGGAAUUAUUGGGCGUAAAGAGCUCGUAGGUGGUUUGUUACGUCUGCUGUGAAAACCUAGGGCUUAACCCUGGGCUUGCAGUGGAUACGGGCAGACUAGAGGUAGGUAGGGGAGAAUGGAAUUCCUGGUGUAGCGGUGAAAUGCGCAGAUAUCAGGAGGAACACCGGUGGCGAAGGCGGUUCUCUGGGCCUUACCUGACGCUGAGACGCGAAAGCGUGGGGAGCAAACAGG
Molecule: ribosomal RNA, 253 nt
Filed under: uncultured bacterium
Lineage: Bacteria
Description: partial 16S ribosomal RNA
Rfam family: Bacterial small subunit ribosomal RNA
Source: RNAcentral